AACGCGAAGAACCUUACCUGGGUUUGACAUCCUCUGACAAACGUAGAGAUACGUCUUCUGUAGCAAUACAGCAGAGAGACAGGUGCUGCAUGGCUGUCGUCAGCUCGUGUGGUGACAUGUUGGGUUAAGUCCCGCAACGAGCGCAACCCUUGUCUUUAGUUGCCAGCAUUCAGUUGGGCACUCUAAAGAGACUGCCGUGGUUAACACGGAGGAAGGUGGGGAUGACGUCAAGUCCUCAUGGCCUUUAUAUCCAGGGCGACACACGUGAUACAAUGGUUGGUACAGAGGGAAGCGAAGGAGCGAUCUGGAGCAAAUCUCAAAAAGCCAAUCUCAGUUCGGAUUGGAGUCUGCAACUCGACUCCAUGAAGUUGGAAUCGCUAGUAAUCGCGGAUCAGCACGCCGCGGUGAAUACGUUCCCGGGCCUUGUACACACCGAUAGC
This 440-nucleotide ribosomal RNA is filed under the name uncultured bacterium. RNAcentral's name for it is "bacterial SSU rRNA". It matches the Rfam family "Bacterial small subunit ribosomal RNA", at positions 958 to 1397 of the family's 1533-position model. The record is from RNAcentral.